This 464-nucleotide ribosomal RNA is filed under the name uncultured bacterium. RNAcentral's name for it is "partial 16S ribosomal RNA". It matches the Rfam family "Bacterial small subunit ribosomal RNA", at positions 339 to 795 of the family's 1533-position model. The record is from RNAcentral.
CUACGGGGGGCUGCAGUGAGGAAUUUUGCGCAAUGGGGGAAACCCUGACGCAGCAACGCCGCGUGAGCGAAGAAGGCCCUCGGGUCGUAAAGCUCUGUCAAGUGGGAAAAAAAUUUUUUGAUCAAUAGUCAAAAGACUUGAUGGUACCACUGGAGGAAGCACCGGCUAACUCCGUGCCAGCAGCCGCGGUAAUACGGAGGGUGCGAGCGUUGUUCGGAUUUACUGGGCGUAAAGAGCGUGUAGGCGGUUUAGCAAGUCGGAUGUGAAAGCCCUGGGCUCAACCCGGGAAGUGCAUUUGAAACUGCUUAACUAGAGUAUGGGAGAGGAGAUUGGAAUUCCUGGUGUAGAGGUGAAAUUCGUAGAUAUCAGGAGGAACACCCGUGGCGAAGGCGAUUCUCUGGACCAAUACUGACGCUGAGACGCGAAAGCGUGGGGAGCAAACAGGAUUAGAUACCCCUGUAGUC